Zalophus californianus (California sea lion) is the source of this 898-nucleotide long non-coding RNA. RefSeq lists it as uncharacterized. NCBI's taxonomy places the organism in Eukaryota, Metazoa, Chordata, Mammalia, Carnivora, Otariidae. The record is from RefSeq and is a predicted model, not a curated record. The transcript has 3 exons.
GCUAACCGACUGAGCCACCCAGGCGCUCCCUACUCAUCCUAUUUCUGAUGACAGGAGAGAAAUUGUCAUGAGGCUAGCUUGUGUGGGGGUGUUUGACCCAUCCCAAGGCUCAGACAAAUGCAUCCCAAUUUCAUAAUCACACUCUGUCGGUAUCAUUCCUUCCACAAGAUUCAGAAUGUCAAGAGUUAGAAAGGUGUCAUAUGCCCAACAUUUUGGGAACUCAAGAUCAUUACACAAAAGACUUGAAACGAAGUGUUAAAACUGGCAUCUGUUUCUUCCCAACUGAUUUUAAGUUCUUUAAUAACCUAGCAGAUGUCAAAAUAAUUUUAAAAGAUAAUCCACAUUUCCUGAAGUACUUAAUGUGAGCCAAGGAGAGCCUUGAGUACUUCACGUGCACCAUCGCAAUCGCCAAAACAGCAUUACCAGGUAGGUUCUGUUAUGCCCACAUUACAGAUGAGGAAACCGACACUCAGAAUAUUGCUCACGGACAUACAGCUAAUAAGGGGCAGAUCCAAGACUCAAAACCACGUGUGUCUACCCUCAGAGCCAGCUCACUUACAAAUGGCCACCCGAUCCACCCAGUAUCCAGUGCUCUGACCUUUGACGGCUAAAGAAGAAAACUUUGGGCACAGCACCAGCCUUGAGAGCAUCUGCAAUCAGCCUGCGACCUUCCAGCAGGAUCUUUCCUUGCUUUUCCCGAAAUGGCCUGGACUUAACUAUCGUCAUUACACUGCUGUGGGUGGAAACAAAAAGACGGGUGCAGGGCGUCUGGGAUGGUGACACCUGAAGCGGCUGCUUUGGUCGCUGCUCGGAGGGACUGGCCUCAGCCGCAGCCCUCCGGGGCUGCUUUCCAGGACCGGGCUUCCGUUCCACCACCUGUCCGGAUGGAAACACCACC